This 429-nucleotide ribosomal RNA is filed under the name Acidobacteriota bacterium. Its description in RNAcentral is "Acidobacteria bacterium partial 16S ribosomal RNA". It matches the Rfam family "Bacterial small subunit ribosomal RNA", at positions 355 to 776 of the family's 1533-position model. The record is from RNAcentral. Lineage: Bacteria; Pseudomonadati; Acidobacteriota.
UGGGGAAUUUUGGACAAUGGGGGAAACCCUGAUCCAGCCAUCCCGCGUGUGCGAUGAAGGCCUUCGGGUUGUAAAGCACUUUUGGCAGGAAAGAAACGUCAUGGGUUAAUACCCCGUGAAACUGACGGUACCUGCAGAAUAAGCACCGGCUAACUACGUGCCAGCAGCCGCGGUAAUACGUAGGGUGCAAGCGUUAAUCGGAAUUACUGGGCGUAAAGCGUGCGCAGGCGGUUCGGAAAGAAAGAUGUGAAAUCCCAGAGCUCAACUUUGGAACUGCAUUUUUAACUUCCGGGCUAGGGUGUGUCAGAGGGAGGUGGAAUUCCGCGUGUAGCAGUGAAAUGCGUAGAUAUGCGGAGGAACACCGAUGGCGAAGGCAGCCUCCUGGGAUAACACUGACGCUCAUGCACGAAAGCGUGGGGAGCAAACAGG